UGACAAUCCAGUGGUGAUCUAAGAUAAAACC
This 31-nucleotide non-coding RNA is filed under the name Homo sapiens (human). Lineage: Eukaryota; Metazoa; Chordata; Mammalia; Primates; Hominidae. The record is from RNAcentral.